Molecule: long non-coding RNA, 2267 nt
Organism: Papaver somniferum (opium poppy)
Lineage: Eukaryota; Viridiplantae; Streptophyta; Magnoliopsida; Ranunculales; Papaveraceae
Exons: 6
Source: RefSeq, a predicted model, not a curated record
AUUCUCGAAACAACUCCCUCAUCCUCCUGCUCCUUCCCCUCCCCGUACUCAUUCUCUUGCAAGUUUUUACCCUCUUCUUCUUCAUCAUGGUUGGUCAAUUGUUUCUAGCUCUAUUUUUGGAUGAGCUUCUCCCAGUUUGACUUAAAAUCCUCCUUUCUCUCUUUCUAAAUCUACCAACAAAUGUAACUAGCAGAUUUAUUUUAGGUUUGAUUUUUUUUCAUCAGAUUUAUCUAAUUUGUUUUUGAUUUCGUGAUUGAUGGUUAAUAAUUAUAAAUGGGUGAAACUUAUUCUCGCGUAGUUCGUAUGAGAGAUUGAAUAGGCGUUGUGUUUGACAAGAAGCUGAUUUGGGUGAUUUUGACAGGAAGAGAUGGUUAAUGCUGAGAAGAAGAAGUGAUGAAACAAUUUAUUGAUGGGUUCUCGAAUCAGUUGAUUGUAGAUAUGCAGAUGAUGAAGAAAUGGGUUUAUGAAGAAAGAAGAUGGUUGAAUGGAGAAAUUGCAGCAGAUUCACGAAAAGCUAGGGUUUGGUGGUAAUGAACAGCUAAAUGGAAAAUCGGUUUUAGGUUGAUUUUAGUUUGAACUCGAGUGUGCCAAUCAAGAGUUGUUUGUGGUGGUUGUGUUCAAGAGACUCGGGAGGAAUCAAAACAGCUGUUUAAAUGGUUUUCUUGAGGUGGAUUUGGAUUUGAGAUAAGCAUAAGGGUUAGAUGAAUGUUAGGACAGGGAUGAAGAAGUUAUUGUUGGUGGUUCUGGUUUGUGAUGAAUCCAGAAAUGCGGGAAGACAUUGCAACUGGUUUGGUUGUAGCUGAAGAGGAAGUUGCAGGUUCAGGGCCAGAUGCAGUUGGAGUUGUUCAGUUCUGGAUGCUACAGGGAAGAAGGUCUGGAGAUUGUAUGGCUAAGGUGUUAACAAUGGAUAUAGUAUGCAGUGACUGAAAUGGUGCAGUGUCGCUCCUUAUAUCAGUAAGAACUUAGUUAAAUAGAACAAGAUAACCUUUUUCUUUUUCAUUGCCAACCAUUACAUUUAUUUAUGCUUUUGUGAUUAUUUAUAAUGAUUGUACAACCAGCUGCAGGAGGGAUAUAUAUUGCUUUAAGAAAUGCUUGGUCUGAAUGGAUACAUAUUUCUUUCACUAAUAUAUUCAUCUGAAUGUAUGAAGUAUUUGAUUUUCUUGCAAUGGCUGUAAGUAGGUUAGCUUGUUCUUUGUUAUGUUUUUGGUUGAUGAUGUCGUGAGUGGCUUUCACUCAUUGCUUUUGGUUAGAAGAGUUUUUGGCUUUAAUUGAUUGUGUUUUGCAGAUUAGGGAAGCCAACGAAGAACUGAGAUAUUCUAACUGUUGGCAACUACCACUACAUGGAUCUAUAAAAGCUGAGGUUAGAUAAUUCAUUUUUAGAUACUUCAUAUGACUGAGCCUCAUCCAGAAGGUAAGAAAGUUGCAACUCAGAAUGUUACUAUUUUUAUAAGGAAGUCGACGUCUUGGUCAUUGCCUAAUUGCCUUGAGAAACAUGUCCAGUUCUCAUGUCUGGGCCAAACAUAGAUGCAUGCUCGCCUUGAUUGACUUUGGUUUCUCCCUUUGUACAAUCAGGAAAAGGUAUUGUUCUUUGUAUAGAGAAGGCCUUAGCUCAAUCUGGGGUUUCCAGACAAGAUGUCAACUACGUGAACGCUCAUGCAACAUCAACACAAGCUGGUGACUUGAAGGAGUACCAAUCUAUCAUCCGUUUUUUUGGCUAAAAUCCCGAUUUGAGAGUGAAUUCCACCAAGUCCAUGAUCGGUCACCUAUUAGGAGCAGCUGGUGCUGUGUUGUUGCACUGGUGCAGGCAAUACGGAUGGUUGGGUCCAUCCAAAUGUCAAUCUUGAAAACCCUGAGGCAGGCGUGGCUUUCGGAUCUCAAGUUUUGUAUUGCAGCAACAAAAGUAGACUUGAUCCAGCAUAAGUGAGUAUUAAUGGAGGUGCAAUGCCCAUUGUGGGUGUCCUCUUAGUACACAGGUUAUACAUUAUGAGCUUCCUAGCACUUCAGAGAUCUUUCACAUAGCUCUGGUAGAACAAGAUGUGAUGGAAAGAUGGUGAUAAUGCAGCCCUCUUAAAUAAAUACUCUUUUGAUGCAGAACCAAUAAUGCAGUGAAAGGAGUGAUUCAUACUCCCUGCUGACAGGUAUCUAUUAUACUGAAAACAUAAAAUUAGAACCUAUAUAUAAUAGCUUACAUCAUCUCUGUAAUUCUCUAGAAUUUGAACUAAUGUGAACUCAUAACUGAACUUGAUAAAUAUAUUAUAUUUUUUCUA